CCCUUUCGCUCCGUCUGGGUCGCUUUGCUGCGUGUCGUGUGUAAUCCCCACGCUGAAGGGACCGUUAGGCCCGCAUUUGUGAGCGGCCAAGAUGCGGGAGACACGGGGCCGUUGCGACGCAGGCCGCUGGCCGUCCGCACCGCAGGAGCGUGGUGAGGGCGAGCACAGGCUAUGGCCGCCGCUGGUCAUUAGCACCGCAGGAGUAUGGUGAGGGCUAGCACAGGCUACGCCUCUGGUCAUUAGCACCGCAGGAGCGUGGUGAGGGCUAGGACGCAGGCCACGGCCAUGUGAAGCCGAUCCCGGGGUUAGGCGGCGCCACGCCGAGGACCGCCACUGUUUGAUCGGAUGGUAACCUGAAUUCGUUGCCGUUGGGUGAUGGAAGACAUGUUAAGGUAUUGUUUAAAGCAAAAUAAAAGUGGUUGAGAUCUUCCGGGCACCUUACAAGGGAUCUUCACGUUUAAAUUUUGGAAAUGAGUACUUUUAAUGUUAGUACGGCAAUGUUUUCAAUACAGUCCUGACCUUCAUUUUAUAUAAAGUCUUUCAUAAGCC
Long non-coding RNA from Peromyscus californicus insignis, 549 nucleotides. RefSeq lists it as uncharacterized. The transcript has 3 exons. Lineage: Eukaryota; Metazoa; Chordata; Mammalia; Rodentia; Cricetidae. The record is from RefSeq and is a predicted model, not a curated record.